This 484-nucleotide ribosomal RNA is filed under the name uncultured bacterium. RNAcentral describes it as "partial 16S ribosomal RNA". It matches the Rfam family "Bacterial small subunit ribosomal RNA", at positions 30 to 507 of the family's 1533-position model. The record is from RNAcentral.
AUUGAACGCUGGCGGCAGGCCUAACACAUGCAAGUCGAGCGGAUGAAGGGAGCUUGCUCCUGGAUUCAGCGGCGGACGGGUGAGUAAUGCCUAGGAAUCUGCCUGGUAGUUGGGGAUAACGUCCGGAAACGGGCGCUAAUACCGCAUACGUCCUGAGGGAGAAAGUGGGGGAUCUUCGGACCUCACGCUAUCAGAUGAGCCUAGGUCGGAUUAGCUAGUUGGUUGGGUAAAGGCCUACCAAGGCGACGAUCCGUAACUGGUCUGAGAGGAUGAUCAGUCACACUGGAACUGAGACACGGUCCAGACUCCUACGGGAGGCAGCAGUGGGGAAUAUUGGACAAUGGGCGAAAGCCUGAUCCAGCCAUGCCGCGUGUGUGAAGAAGGUCUUCGGAUUGUAAAGCACUUUAAGUUGGGAGGAAGGGCAGUAAGUUAAUACCUUGCUGUUUUGACGUUACCAACAGAAUAAGCACCGGCUAACUUCGUG